RNAcentral lists this long non-coding RNA (374 nucleotides) under Homo sapiens (human). RNAcentral describes it as "non-protein coding lnc-RIMBP2-3:1". The record is from RNAcentral. Lineage: Eukaryota; Metazoa; Chordata; Mammalia; Primates; Hominidae.
GAAACAGUGAAGGCCCAGAGAGAUUCAGUCACUUGCUCAAGGCCACAGGCUGGCAGCUGCAGGCCUAGAGCCCUUCUCAUGAAGAGCAGGAAGUACCCAAAGCCACAGCCAGGAUUAAAGAGUUGAUCUAAACCUUAGAUCUUAGCUUUAAGGUUGUAAUGUACAGUGAAUCUGGUUACAUGGAAAAGGAAACAGUAAUUGUUGAAGUAUGUUUUCUUAAGCUACAGAAUAAUUUUUGAAAUGUUUGCCUUUAAUCCGCAGACAGGCUCGCGUUUGAGAAAAUAUUUUCUUGCUGCUCAAGAUGAAUGUGAGUGUCUGAAGUACUGGAUCUUUGAGCUACAUUUUGUCAUUUUUUCAAAAAAUAAAAAGAUGAC